UAAAUAUAAACCGGAGUUUAUGAUUGAAAAAUUGGUGGUCGAUCUAUUGCCAUAAAAAGACUGUGAUGAGUUGUGUCGCUUUACAAUAUACAUAGCUUCUUUAGAGCUUUGAGCAAUGUUCCGUAAUAUAUCUUUCAAACAAAGAAUAUCAAGAUUGACACUUUCGUGUAAAUCUUCAAUGCAAAGUAAAUUAAAAAUAGACUCUCCAUUGUUAAUUCUCAGAAAGCCCCGAUACGAAGGAUUUCGCAAUAAAUUGUAAUGUUCGGCAAAAGAACAAAUGGCUUGAACACUCUUAUUGACUAAUGAAAUCGGGAUGUUCCCAGGGUGUUUUUCGGAAACAGGCAGAUGCGACACUAGGUAUAUGU
This is a non-coding RNA of Schizosaccharomyces pombe (fission yeast), 365 nucleotides long. Lineage: Eukaryota; Fungi; Ascomycota; Schizosaccharomycetes; Schizosaccharomycetales; Schizosaccharomycetaceae. The record is from the annotation of a GenBank genome assembly.